ACAAGCAGUGUGCGCGGCGCGACUUCACGAAUCCGCUGAAGCCUUCCGCGCGUCAAUCGAGGAAACACCGUACUCUGCGUUUUCAUCCACCCACGCGGUGCCCAUUCCGGGCAACUAGAGAACUUUUGCCUCUUACCAGGGCUCAACACCGCACUCGCACACAGACGCACACCCACCCAAAAAAAACCUAGAUAGAUUCGCUCACAGGUACGGGCAGCUGCGCUGCAGUCUUGGCGCCAUGGACCCGGUAAAGCGGCGACUUGUGUACGUGGCUGAUGAAAAUGAGGUACUCCUGAGCGAGCUCUCUGGCACUCCACCGACGCGGCAGUCGCGUCACACGCAGCUUCUCGUGCCUCUUUCUCCGCCAACGUCUUCGCAACAAUCUCCCCACUCGGUGUCCCCGCCUCCGCGCCCAGUCGACGCGACCGCCGAAGCAGCGCCUGUCGCGACGGCUGACAAAGCGUUGCUCGUCUCCUAUGAUGGAUUUCUGCUCACAGACGGCAGCGGGCGUUUCUCUACGCCCCGCGACGCUGCGCAGGCCGCCGACAUUCGCGAUGCUCUAAAGACAUGUCGUUCCUUUCUGAAAGGAUUCUUGAACGCGGCGCGACCUGAGAGUGAGUCAACAGAGUCCUGCAGCUCUGGGGCCUCUAGCUCCACGUAUAUGGAAGAAGAAGACUCCGACUUGGAGGAGACCAGCAGCGAUGAUUCGCCUGUUUCACGCCCGCGCGCCACCAAAGCCGCGAGAGCGCGUCCUCCACAUUCCCAUAUACACAAUCCGACACAGAUGACAGUGGCGGAGCUGAAAGAACUUCUGCGUAAUCGUGGACUUUCGAUUGCUGGUAACAAGGCGUGUCUCGUGAAGCGCGUACAGAAGCUGCGUGCGCACGAGUCGGAGCGCGCGUUGGAAACUGGACCUCUACGUCUCGGUGCAGGUCAACGAACGUUGCAGGGCUCUCUCCGCCACGAGACUAAGCUGAAUUCUGGCGUAUCGGUGCUGUCCCCACCAUUGAGUCCGCUGCCGUCGCAACGGAAGUCGCCAAACUGCCACACUAGUGACGAAAAGAACAAUAGCAUUUGGGGUGCGCUGGUGCACGCGGGCUCGCGCCUUUUUCGGGGAGGGGCACGCGCGUCUUGGGGGUUUCAUACGCGUCCACCGGAGGACGCCGACGACGCACCGCUUUCGACGCGUCGGCGAAUCAGCGCGUAGCAGCUGAGACACAGGUCUCCCUCAGCCUCCGCGACCAGCUUUUGGAGUGUUCGGUGUUACGGUUUUCUUCUGCUUGUUUGUGCCUUUUAUUCUCCGCAAAAGCAUCUGUCGUGUUCCACUACGCAUAUAUAUAUAUGUGUAUUGCCUUCUCUUUAUCACCUUCACGGACUCUACUGUUGUGCCGCGGUGUCGUGUUUGCCUCGCGUGGGCACACUGUCUGUAACUCUUUCGUUCAACGUUGCCAUGGUGAGCGUUUGGAACUCAAAAAGCUUUUGAGGGGCGCACUUUCGCUUCCUGUGAACAAUCAAAGCCGCGCGGCUGCUGCUCACACGCCGACGCGCCUGCGUCCCCUUCCGUGGCGUUCUGACCACCGUGGCGCCCUACCCCUUUUUUUGCCGUUUUUUUUUGGGGGGGGUGUGCGAAUCGGCGUAAUGCACGCCGGUAUGUGUUUCGGCCCUUCCCUUUGUUUCUCGAUGGCGCCAUCACGGUCGCGAGGGUGCUGUCUCCUUCAUAUCGCACUGACCAUCCACCGAUAACGCGUGCCCCUCCCCCCCCCCACACGCACACGUGCUCUCUCUUGUGGUGCUUCUACUGUUGGCAUCGACCGUGCUCUUUUAUUCCUCUCGUUGCACUACUACGAACGGCGUGCCUUCUGCGAGAUUUCUCUCUCCGGUGUAUUUUCGCACUUUUCGAUGCUCACAAAACGUGAUGCGCUCUCCAAAG
Molecule: unclassified non-coding RNA, 1930 nt
Filed under: Leishmania donovani
Lineage: Eukaryota; Euglenozoa; Kinetoplastea; Trypanosomatida; Trypanosomatidae
Description: gene:LdHU3.36.0120(CDS-product:SAP_domain_contain ing_protein_putative)
Source: RNAcentral